UUCCCUCCAUUCCCUCAUUUCCAUCCUUUCCCUCCUAUCUCGCCUUUCCAUCCUUUCCCUCCUGUGAAAUAUAUUCACGAAAAGGGGCUGGCUGUGAUAUUUGGAGGAAAUUUGAAUAGGAAAGUGUACACCUUUAUCGCUGGUCGGUUUGCAACUGUAUAUUCGUUUGUCCUUUUUUGUAUAUAAUAUUUCAUGCAGUUCAUAAUUCGUGUAGAUCGAGCAGUUUCGAAUGUAGAGUAGUUUAUAACCUAAUCUUAGUUUCCUAACGCUUUGUUUUAUGUACAAUUCAAAUUUAAGUUCGAAAAUAAUUAUCCAAAUUCCAACAUUCCCGGCCACCAAAGAAGAACUUCUUUAAAUUUCAUGCAAAAUAUAAAUUCAAUAAUGAGUUCAAAAAAGAAUUCAAAAAAAGUUCGACUCUUGAACCUGACGCUUAUCUCCUAUCAUACUGCUCGUGUGUGUAGAUGUGUGAAUGUGUGUUGCGUGUAUCUUGUUCUGCCAUGAGUGCGAAAUGUAAACAAUGUCGCGUGGCUUGCAGCUGCGCGUUACUCAGUGCCAGUGGUUUCCUUCUGCUCUAAGUUGCUAAUUACGUCCGGAUUAGGCAAAACCGCCAGACGAUUAGCUGCGCGGACGAUUUGCUUCCUUGAAGCAGUGCGCAGUGUAACGACGCGAACAACAUCGUCCUUUCCAGGGUGUACUGCAACGAUGCGCCCCAUCGGCCACGAGGUAGGAUGUACAUUGUCUUCCUUAAUAAUCACCAGUGUAUUUUCUUUCAGAACCGCUGAUUUUCCGUUGCAAUAUUUGGCUCGAGCUUGUAACUGCUGCAGGUACUCCGGAUACCAUCGAGCCCAAAUGGUUUGCAGAUGUUUUUGUACCAACUGGUAUUCCCUCAAAUAGUUGCUCGGUGUCUCGGUGUAAUCGAUGAUUGGUACCGCUUGCAGAUUGCCACCGACGAGGAAGUGUCCCGGUGUCAAUGGUUCCAAGUCCGACGGCUCAUCGGAUAGAGGUGUAAUUGGUCGCGAAUUUAAACAUUGCUCUACCUGGGCAAGUAGGCUGCCUUCACCGCCGCCUCCCAUAAACCUCCAAAAUGUGGUGCUCUUGGUGGGAUAAACUUCCACUUCAUAUGAUUCAUCGCGCACCAAUCAAAUAUAGCAGCUCGAUCGUGUUCGUCGCUCUUUAGCAUCUUGUAGACGCGAUUCAGCUCAUGUGCCGCUCCCUUAAAGGUGGUUGCAUUGUCGGAAUGCAGUUCACCGAUUUGACCACGACGUGCAAUCAAACGACGAAGUGCAUUGAUAAAUGCUGUUGAUGUUAAAUCGCCAACCAGUUCGAUAUGUACCGCUCUUGUUGAAAAACAUACAAAUAUGGCGAUGUAUGCUUUAAUCGGA
Molecule: long non-coding RNA, 1382 nt
Organism: Anopheles gambiae (African malaria mosquito)
Lineage: Eukaryota; Metazoa; Arthropoda; Insecta; Diptera; Culicidae
Exons: 2
Source: RefSeq, a predicted model, not a curated record